This is a long non-coding RNA of Helianthus annuus (common sunflower), 2558 nucleotides long. RefSeq lists it as uncharacterized. The record is from RefSeq and is a predicted model, not a curated record. NCBI's taxonomy places the organism in Eukaryota, Viridiplantae, Streptophyta, Magnoliopsida, Asterales, Asteraceae. The transcript is spliced from 2 exons.
CCUUGCUGCUUGCACACAAAUUAAGAGAGCACAACACAACAAAGCUUUUGAGGUUUCUGGUUUUGAACGUGACAAGCAUGUGCGGUUAAUUCUCUUUUUAUCACCUCUGGGUGUAGGGUUAGUGUUAGUAGUUCAAUUCAACAUGUUCAUACUUACUUUUGAUUUAGAUUUUGUUCUAAUAAUUCAGUUAGUCGAAUCUUUGUGUUUACUUUAAUGAAUUAAACCGUUCUAGGAUUAUAAACAUAAACUCGUUUUCGUCAGAUAUUUGGUUUUCUUUAACAACAAUUUGAUUAAAUUCUAAGUUGUCAUUGUUUUUUACCUUUAUCCAUUAAAUUCGAUUAUGUUUUUUUACAACCAGAAUUGGUAAUUAAGCAGAUUACUAAUCAGUUACAUCAAUAUUUUGGUUUUCUAUUGUAGUUCAUUGCAACCAAAUAUAUUAUCUUUUAAUUAUCUAUCGAAACAAGUAACAUAACGAAUCAUGUCCAUUUGAUUUCCAAUUGAUACAAACUAGUUUAUUCGAUCUGCUUCACAACCUGAAACCCAGAGAUUGAACCAUAUUGUUUACAACUCAAUUUAAGUUUUCAUUAGUUUUAGUUUUUUUUUUUUUUUUUGAACGGUAAAUUUGGAUCACUGACGGACUACUGGAGUAUUAUCGUGUCACCAACGGAACCACCCAAUCAUAUCCAUCUCCACUAGCACUACAAGAAAAUGGGGUGCCGCUAAAGUGGGACACCGGGUUACGGAUCGACCACUAGCGGCGACAUAUGGCCUGUCGCCGCUAUUGGUGUCGCCGCUAUUGCUCAACUUUCUUGUAAUGUAGACAAUAAUACUUAUACACCAAUUCAGGAGGAAACCUAGUAAAUCUGAGAAAACCUCCUUGUGAGAAUCGAACUCAUGACUUAAUGGUCAUAAGUCUUAUUCCACCCCAAAAUGCAACUAGGCUAUAAUUCCCUGGGCAUUAGUUUUAGUUAAUCAAUAAAGAACAAAAGUUAUUUUAAUUUAAGUUUUAAAUUAAAUCUUCAAACAAAACGUAUAACAAUGACUACAUACUUCUCGUGGAUACCAUACCCUACUUACUCUAACUAACUAGUUCAUUUAAGUGUUUGCUUGAGUGGAAAGAUGCUUUGGAACAAAAAUUGUACAAAAUGACACAUGGAGUCUAAUUGCAAAGCCAGAGUUGGCACAGAAUGACACAUGGAGUCUAAUUGCAAAGCCAACUGAUACUAAACCUAUUCCGUGUAAGUAGAUUUUUGAUAUAAAAAUCGGCAUAUGGAUCAGUCGAAAGGUACAUGGUCCUGUUAGGUGCAAGGGUUUUUUUUAUAAAGGUACCAUAAUGAUGCUUUCCAUCCUCGCAGUUGCUGCAAGUAAGGUUUUGGAUUUAUGGUACAUGGAGUUAAAGAAGGCGAUCUAUGGGUUGAAUUAGUCAUCAAGAGUUUGGUUUGAGAAGAUUGGUGAAUUUCUAGAGCAUAAUGGUAAGGUCCUAUACUAGUCGAUACUAGUGUUUUGUUCGAGUCGAGUGAGAUAGGACCGUCGUUAUUCUUGUGUAUGUGGAUGAUUUGAUUAUCACUGGUGACUUGGUUUAUGUGGUGAAGCGUAAACCAAAUUUAUGUACUCGCUUUUCAUGAAGGACUUAGGAAGAUUGAACACUACCUAAGUUUAGAACUUGUGUAUGAGACGGGUGGAUUCAUACUUCAUCAAAACCGACAUGUCUUGAUUUAUUGGUGAUGUUUUGGAAUGGAAAGUUGCAAGCCGGUAAAUAUACCCAUGGCACAAAAUUUGUCAAUUUGAACUGCGGAAUGGGGGUUUAGAGGAUGUUACUAUGUAUAGACGAAUCAUGGAUAGUCUCAUUUACUUAACUUUAACUCGACCAUACAUUGCUUAUGUCGUUGGCGUCUUAAGCAAAUAUGUUUAAGCUUCAAGGAAACCACACCUUAAGGCUGCUCGGUUAGUCCUACACUACGUGAAAAUGACUCCUAGCUAUGGAGCUAAGUUUAAGGAGUCAAAAGUGGAGUUAAUCGGAUUUUUGUGAUGCCGAUUAUGCAAAAGAUCCUGAUACUAGGCGCUACACUACCCGUUAUGUAUUCUUGAUUGGUUCGAGUGUUGUUACAUGGUUAGGAAAAGACAGCCUAUGGUGUCACUCUCGACUACCGAAGCUGAGUAUCGUGCAGCGGCUAUGGCUGCUCAAGAGUGUGUGUGGCUUGUUUGAUUGUUAAAGGAGCUAAACCAGGGUGCGGAUGAAAGGGUUAUGUAUGGUGACAACGUGUCUUCCAUAUUAUCGGCUGAGAAUCCGACGUUUUACACCAAAAUGAAGCAUAUAGAGGUUCACAAAGAAUUUUCCUAUAGAGAAGCUAAUGAAGUUUUAUGCACUUUUGGGAAUAAAGAAAGCAAAUUUCGAGAGGGGGUAAUGAACGAGACAAUAUUAGGGCGGUUAAGUUGAUCUCAAGGGGUGGUAGGAGAAGAUCAUUUAAAGUCUAUGGACUAACAGUAUAAGUUGCCUUAUUUUUGGAGUCUUAAUUUUAAUUAGAAAUUUUGUAGGACUAUGUUUCCUAUUUUAAUUA